CCUACGGGAGGCAGCAGCGAGGAAUAUUGGUCAAUGGACGAGAGUCUGAACCAGCCAAGUAGCGUGAAGGAUGACUGCCCUAUGGGUUGUAAACUUCUUUUAUAUGGGAAUAAAAUGUUCCACGUGUGGGAUUUUGUAUGUACCAUAUGAAUAAGGAUCGGCUAACUCCGUGCCAGCAGCCGCGGUAAUACGGAGGAUCCGAGCGUUAUCCGGAUUUAUUGGGUUUAAAGGGAGCGUAGGUGGAUUGUUAAGUCAGUUGUGAAAGUUUGCGGCUCAACCGUAAAAUUGCAGUUGAAACUGGCAGUCUUGAGUACAGUAGAGGUGGGCGGAAUUCGUGGUGUAGCGGUGAAAUGCUUAGAUAUCACGAAGAACUCCGAUUGCGAAGGCAGUUCACUGGACUGCAACUGACACUGAGGCUCGAAAGUGUGGGUAUCAAACAGGAUUAGAUACCCGAGUAGUC
RNAcentral lists this ribosomal RNA (460 nucleotides) under uncultured bacterium. RNAcentral describes it as "partial 16S ribosomal RNA". It matches the Rfam family "Bacterial small subunit ribosomal RNA", at positions 338 to 795 of the family's 1533-position model. The record is from RNAcentral.